Molecule: transfer RNA, 67 nt
Filed under: Tragulus kanchil
Lineage: Eukaryota; Metazoa; Chordata; Mammalia; Artiodactyla; Tragulidae
Also listed under: 1 other name
Description: tRNA-Pro
Source: RNAcentral
CAAGGAAUAGUUUAACUAGAAUUUCAGCUUUGGGUGUUGAUGGUGAGGUUUGAGGCCUCUUCCUUGA